RNAcentral lists this unclassified non-coding RNA (237 nucleotides) under uncultured fungus. Its description in RNAcentral is "sequence contains ITS1". Lineage: Eukaryota; Fungi. The record is from RNAcentral.
GUAUUGAUUGCGUGUGAUCGCAAAAAGUAAGACAUUCUACACAUGCAUUAAAAAAGGUGUCUGUGUAAAAACGUGAACCCCUCCCAAUAUGGGGGGAGGCCCACGUGGUGAUGCACAAAGGGGUGAGAUGGACGUGAGAGAGAGCACUUUGGGCGUGCACGACCCGUGAAGGUCAGCGACAGCCCUGGGCACCUCCGUUGUACGAUAAUGAUCCUUCCGCAGGUUCACCUACGGAAA